CUACUGAUAUCGAGAGGUGUUGGGAUGGGACGCCAGAAGUCAGCCGAGGCCAUAGUAGGCGUCAGGAUGAGCUGAAGGGC
Non-coding RNA from Betaproteobacteria bacterium RIFCSPLOWO2_02_67_12, 80 nucleotides. The record is from Rfam. Lineage: Bacteria; Pseudomonadati; Pseudomonadota; Betaproteobacteria.